UUUAAUAUAUUGUAGAGAUGCUAAAUCUGCCUGAAGUUACUAAGAAAGAGUGUGGUCGUGAUUAGACACCUUUUCAUUUAACCUCUCUGCGUUGUAACCGAUAGUCACAUUUAAAGAAACUAUUUCCAGGUGUUGUGCAAUCUGUGAUACCGAAAUCAGAGCAGAGUGUCUUCUUGACGCGGCGGCUCACCGGCCAGAGCCCUAGGGCCAGUUGAAGGGGCUGCCCGCCAGCAGCGAGUCCCGGCUUCCCUCACAGACGCAGUGAGGGGGGAGGACUUCGAAAGCGCGAGAGACUGGGGUCAGACCCUGGGAAGAACCGGCAGACAGAAAGCAGGUGUAGCAGUGUUAGGAGCCGAUUGUCUAAUGAAUAUACAGGUGUGUGUUUUUAAAGCCUGAUAAUUUUAGACAUAACUUUCUCCAGGUUUUGUAUUUCUAUAUUUUAGUUUUCAUGUAUCCAUUUGAAAGGCAGAGAGUAAUUCUACUGUGUGUGUGUGGCAGGAACCCAAUUCCUUGAGCCCUCCUGUGCUGCCUCC
Molecule: non-coding RNA, 533 nt
Organism: Oryctolagus cuniculus (rabbit)
Lineage: Eukaryota; Metazoa; Chordata; Mammalia; Lagomorpha; Leporidae
Source: RefSeq, a predicted model, not a curated record